UAGCAUAUCAAUAAGCGGAGGAAAAGAAACUAACAAGGAUUCCCCUAGUAACUGCGAGUGAAGCGGGAAAAGCUCAAAUUUAAAAUCUGGCGGUCUUUUGCCGUCCGAGUUGUAAUCUAGAGAAGUAAUGCCCGUGCUGGACCGUGUAUAAGUCUCCUGGGAUGGGGCGUCAUAGAGGGUGAGAAUCCCGUCUUUGACACGGACUACCAGUGCAUUGUGGUAUGCUCUCAAAGAGUCGAGUUGUUUGGGAAUGCAGCUCAAAAUGGGUGGUAAAUUCCAUCUAAAGCUAAAUAUUGGCGAGAGACCGAUAGCGAACAAGUACCGUGAGGGAAAGAUGAAAAGAACUUUGGAAAGAGAGUUAAACAGUACGUGAAAUUGCUGAAAGGGAAACGCUUGAAGUCAGUCGCGUUGGCCAGGGAUCAGCCUUGCUUUUGCAUGGUGUAUUUUCUGGUUAACGGGUCAGCAUCAAUUUUGACCACUGGAAAAGGGCCUGGGGAAUGUGGCAGCUUAGGCUGUGUUAUAGCCCCUGGUCGCAUACAGUGGUUGGGAUUGAGGAACUCAGCACGCCGCAAGGCCGGGUUUCGACCACGUUCGUGCUUAGGAUGCUGGCAUAAUGGCUUUAAGCGACCCGUCUUGAAACACGGACCAAGGAGUCUAACAUGCCUGCGAGUAUUUGGGUGGAAAACCCGAGUGCGCAAUGAAAGUGAAAGUUGAGAUCCCUGUCGUGGGGAGCAUCGACGCCCGGACCAGAACUUUUGGGACGGAUCCGCGGUGGAGCAUGUAUGUUGGGACCCGAAAGAUGGUGAACUAUGCCUGAAUAGGGUGAAGCCAGAGGAAACUCUGGUGGAGGCUCGUAGCGAUUCUGACGUGCAAAUCGAUCGUCAAAUUUGGGUAUAGGGGCGAAAGACUAAUCGAACCAUCUAGUAGCUGGUUCCUGCCGAA
This 942-nucleotide ribosomal RNA is filed under the name Agaricus bitorquis. Its description in RNAcentral is "LSU rRNA". It matches the Rfam family "Eukaryotic large subunit ribosomal RNA", at positions 36 to 965 of the family's 3401-position model. The record is from RNAcentral. Lineage: Eukaryota; Fungi; Basidiomycota; Agaricomycetes; Agaricales; Agaricaceae.